Vitis vinifera (wine grape) is the source of this 1396-nucleotide long non-coding RNA. RefSeq lists it as uncharacterized. NCBI's taxonomy places the organism in Eukaryota, Viridiplantae, Streptophyta, Magnoliopsida, Vitales, Vitaceae. The transcript has 6 exons. The record is from RefSeq and is a predicted model, not a curated record.
UACUAUUUUUUGCAAGAGGAAAAAAAUUUAAAAAUCUCCAUCAGUGUGCGAAAUUUGAUGGAAAAGAUUUUUGGAAACUCGUUCGGUUGAGUGAAAUUGUAUUUGUAGGUGGUUUUUGUUCCUUCAACAAGUAGAGGUGAAUAGCAUUUUUGUUGUCCCCUCUAUGGAAGUUUGAGUGUGGAAAGACGCAUAAUGCAACCUUGGAAGGCUCUUGUUAAGAAUAUUACAGUUGAACAUUUGGUUGCCUAAUGGUGGUGUGGUCAUGGGUGAUCUUAUAAUGCUAUUCUAGAAGGUUUAGGAGCCCUACAAGAAGAACUGGAGCUCUAACAGAUUACAAUAUAAGUUAAGUUGCUCUUUUAUAGAUUUGGAUUUUCAAAACCCUAUAAUAAGCUAAUUGUCGUAAAGUGGAAAUACGAUGAAUUAUAAUUAUAUUAGCCAACUAUGCAAACUUCAUUGUGAGAUUCAAUUUUUUUCUCUUUUAGGUGGGUUGUGAGACUUCUUGAAGACUUUGAUAAGACUCUAAGAGGAUUUUGAUAUUAAAAGGGCGAUGAUGAGGGGACUGAAUAUUGAGAAUUUAGCCUUGAUUUCUAUCAUAUCAGAUGAGAAGCAAGAAGCAAAUCUCUUUAUGAAAAAGUAGAACAACUACUUGGAUUUAUGAGCCGAGCAUAAUUCUUCUCUACUUCCUCAUUUAACAUAGCCUAAAGAGGUUGUUCCCAUUGUAUACAUGUAAGUGACAUAUUCCUUCUUCGGGAUUGUAUAUAGGCUCUUUAGUUUACCAUUUUUGUUCAUGAUGUUUUUGGAAGCAUCAGUUGUCUUUAUCAAUUUUUGUCAUUUCAUUUCUCAAAAUCUGGAAGUAACACUUUGCAACCACUGUCUGAGUAUGUUUCAGGUUUGGCCCAUCAUCUAAAGAUGGUUGCAAUCAAUAACUCGCAUGAAAUGGUAAACAAACUUGAUAUCAAUUUUUGCUCAACUAUGGGAAGGUGAAGGGAUGCAGUUUUCAUGAAUGAAUAGGAAGAUUAAUUGGAAAAGCUCAGAUUCUCAGAAGGUACCAAUUUGGCUUUCUCCAGUCAAUUACUAGAGUUUCUAUUCUCACUGGUGUUUCCCAAGAUUUGAUGUGGGAAUAUUUGACCCAUCUGGGAGUAGGCUUCAGAUUUUGGAUUUGUGAAACCUUAUCUGAAUAAAUCCUUGUCUUCUCUGUCAUUUUGCUGUUUGGAUUUUACUGUCUUCAUCUGCAUUUUUCCGUUUUGGGCCUUGGUUUAUUGUUUGCAGAAGUUUUCAACUCAAACCAUACACCAUGUUUAAGGGGUAGAAGUUAGGUGCUGAUAGGUUGUAUAUGAAGUUGAUUAUAUUUGAAUAGAGAUUGAAUUGUGUUUCUAUCAAUUUCAGUUAACUACUA